RNAcentral lists this ribosomal RNA (484 nucleotides) under uncultured bacterium. RNAcentral describes it as "partial 16S ribosomal RNA". It matches the Rfam family "Bacterial small subunit ribosomal RNA", at positions 30 to 507 of the family's 1533-position model. The record is from RNAcentral.
AUUGAACGCUGGCGGAAUGCUUUACACAUGCAAGUCGAACGGCAGCACGGGGACAGCCCUGGUGGCGAGUGGCGAACGGGUGAGUAAUACAUCGGAACGUGCCCGGUCGUGGGGGAUAACGUAGCGAAAGUUACGCUAAUACCGCAUACGAUCUGAGGAUGAAAGCGGGGGACCUUCGGGCCUCGCGCGAUCGGAGCGGCCGAUGUCAGAUUAGGUAGUUGGUGAGGUAAAGGCUUACCAAGCCGACGAUCUGUAGCUGGUCUGAGAGGACGACCAGCCACACUGGAACUGAGACACGGCCCAGACUCCUACGGGAGGCAGCAGUGGGGAAUUUUGGACAAUGGGCGCAAGCCUGAUCCAGCCACGCCGCGUGCAGGACGAAGGCCUUCGGGUUGUAAACUGCUUUUGUACGGAAAGAAAAGGCUCUGGCUAAUACAUGGGGGUCAUGACGGUACCGUAAGAAUAAGCACCGGCUAACUACGUG